GUGUCAGCAGCCGCGGUAAAACGUAGGAGACAAACGUUAUCCGGAGUUACUGGGCGUAAAGGGCGUGUAGGUGGUUUUAUAAGUCUGGCGUGAAAUUUCUCGGCUUAACCGAGGCAGGUCGUCGGAUACUAUAGGACUAGAGGACGGUAGAGGCGUGUGGAAUUCCGGGUGUAGUGGUGAAAUGCGUAGAGAUCCGGAGGAACACCAGUGGCGAAGGCGACACGCUGGGCCGUACCUGACACUGAUGCGCGACAGCAUGGGGAGCAAACAGGAUUAGAAACCCCUGUAGUCC
Molecule: ribosomal RNA, 292 nt
Filed under: uncultured bacterium
Lineage: Bacteria
Description: partial 16S ribosomal RNA
Rfam family: Bacterial small subunit ribosomal RNA
Source: RNAcentral